GUGCCAGCCGCCGCGGUAAUACCGGCAGCUCAAGUGAUGUCCAAUAUUAUUGGGCCUAAAGCGUCCGUAGCUGGCUACAUAAGUUCGUCGGGAAAUCCACCUGCCCAACAGGUGGGCGUCCGGCGAAAACUGUGUGGCUUGGAACCGGAAGGCUCAGAGAGUACGUCCGGGGUAGGAGUGAAAUCCCGUAAUCCCGAACGGACGACCGAUGGCGAAAGCACUCUGAGAAGACGGAUUCGACAGUGAGGGACGAAAGCUAGGGUCUCGAACCGGAUUAGAUACCCCAGUAGUCC
Molecule: ribosomal RNA, 293 nt
Filed under: uncultured bacterium
Lineage: Bacteria
Description: partial 16S ribosomal RNA
Rfam family: Archaeal small subunit ribosomal RNA
Source: RNAcentral